This 253-nucleotide ribosomal RNA is filed under the name uncultured bacterium. RNAcentral describes it as "partial 16S ribosomal RNA". It matches the Rfam family "Bacterial small subunit ribosomal RNA", at positions 524 to 776 of the family's 1533-position model. The record is from RNAcentral.
GACGUAGGGUGCGAGCGUUGUCCGGAUUUAUUGGGCGUAAAGAGCUCGUAGGCGGCUUGUUACGUCGACUGUGAAAACCCGCGGCUCAACUGCGGGCCUGCAGUCGAUACGGGCAGGCUAGAGUUCGGUAGGGGAGACUGGAAUUCCUGGUGUAGCGGUGAAAUGCGCAGAUAUCAGGAGGAACACCGGUGGCGAAGGCGGGUCUCUAGUACGGUACUGACGCUGAGACGCGAAAGCGUGGGGAGCGAACAGG